RNAcentral lists this ribosomal RNA (497 nucleotides) under uncultured bacterium. Its description in RNAcentral is "partial 16S ribosomal RNA". It matches the Rfam family "Bacterial small subunit ribosomal RNA", at positions 28 to 507 of the family's 1533-position model. The record is from RNAcentral.
GAUGAACGCUGGCGGCGUGCCUAAUACAUGCAAGUCGAGCGAACGGACGAGAAUCUUGCUUCUCUGAUGUUAGCGGCGGACGGGUGAGUAACACGUGGAUAACCUACCUAUAAGACUGGGAUAACUUCGGGAAACCGUAGCUAAUACCGGAUAAUAUUUUGAACCGCAUGGUUCAAAAGUGAAAGACGGUCCUGCUGUCACUUAUAGAUGGAUCCGCGCUGCAUUAGCUAGUUGGUAAGGUAACGGCUUACCAAGGCAACGAUGCAUAGCCGACCUGAGAGGGUGAUCGGCCACACUGGAACUGAGACACGGUCCAGACUCCUACGGGAGGCAGCAGUAGGGAAUCUUCCGCAAUGGGCGAAAGCCUGACGGAGCAACGCCGCGUGAGUGAUGAAGGUCUUCGGAUCGUAAAACUCUGUUAUUAGGGAAGAACAUAUGUGUAAGUAACUGUGCACAUCUUGACGGUACCUAAUCAGAAAGCCACGGCUAACUACGUG